This is a long non-coding RNA of Halichondria panicea, 2822 nucleotides long. RefSeq lists it as uncharacterized. The record is from RefSeq and is a predicted model, not a curated record. Lineage: Eukaryota; Metazoa; Porifera; Demospongiae; Suberitida; Halichondriidae. The transcript is spliced from 4 exons.
GCCUAUGCACACCUAGGUGAGCUUAGAGCAUUUGCCCCUCCUGGUGCUCCAAUGUUGGCUGCAACGGUUACUGUGACAGACGUUAUGAGGAAUGUGAUUGUGGAGGUUCUCGAAAUGACUGGGUGUGCUGUUGUCAGUGUAUCUCCAAAUAAGCCUAACAUCUUUUACUCAGUAAAAAAGCGCUCCUCCAGCAUUGGUGAGGACUUCGCCUUAAUCACGUCUGACCUGUUAUGUAACAAUGUUAAGGCCAAUAGAGUAAUAGUGUAUUGCCAAUCGUUGGACGUGUGUGCUAACUUGUAUAUCCACUUCAUGAGAGUCCUUGGAGAUCGUGGAUACUAUCCAUCUGGUGCUGAGCAAGUCAGUGAUAACCGUCUUUAUGGUAUGUUUCAUGCUAAGACAGACGAAUACAACAAAGACGUAAUCAUGAAGAGCCUCGCUAAUCCCAAGGGGGUGGUCCGAGUUGUAUUUGCAACAAUGGCUCUUGGUAUGGGUGUGAGCUUCACUGGACUGACGACUACCAUCCACUAUGGUGCACCGCGAUCCUUAGAUGAUUAUUUUCAGGAGAGUGGCCGUGCGGGCAGACAAGGAGAGCAAUCCACAUCAACCAUAUUUUGGAAACCCAUGGACGCUCCACUGAAGACAGAUCAGACCAUCCCUCGAAAUGUUGAAAUUGCUGCUGUGAGGAGGUUCCUUGAGAGUACAUCUGACUGUAGAAGGUACAUUUUUUUUACCCUAUUGUUGCAGCGAGCCUACAGAAACGAAACCUUAUUUUGUGCUGCGACAAUUGCAAGACUGUCAAAUAGCAAAGACGCGUGAUGUGAGCGGGGUGUAUGGCUCCAGGCGAAUCACCUCGAUAACAACAAAUUAACGAGAUGAAGGCCGUACCUCAAAGGUGUCUUGGAAACCGGCCCAACCAAUGCUUAUUCACAAUUAAUUUUAGAGUUAGAGCAGUGAUGGGCACUGGGAGUGAGAGAUAGCCAUUAUUGAUGAAGUUCAGGGUUUCAUGUGAGUUGUAUUUUAACACUCUAGUAUAACUAGAGCACUAAAGUGCAAACCCUCGGCUGGUGACAUGAUUAAAAAGAAACCAGAAAUAUAAUGCAGUGCAUAUAGUGAUGUUGUUAUCAUGUAGGACUUGCACAGCAACUCAGGAGCAAUAAAACUAAACCAGACUGGAGGCAUGCUGAAACAUUUGAGAACAGGUAGUGGUACUAUAGCACUGUGGAUUAGGAUCACAGUAAAGAAGCCUGGAGUCUCAGAGAAGUAUGGCUCCAGGUUCUGCAUGGAGUAGGAUCCCAGCCAGCAGCAAGAGCUACUAUCUAUGCUAUAAUUCAAGCUUCUACUUUAGUGACCCUGUUCCAUUGUUCCUGGUAUAUACAGCUUUCUACUUUAGUGACCCUGUUCCAUCGUUCUUGGUACAGGAUCACUUCAGUUAUAAGUAACGCAUGUGCAAGUUCUGUUCAAGCUACAUUUUGCUCGCUUUUAUUAGACAAAGGAGCUUUAACACCGAAAGCUGCCACUAUCAAAAGUACUAACUUGUUGUGUGGAGGCUACUUAUGCUGUAAACGCAGUGCUAGAACAUCCAGGUAAGCAGACCUAGUCACAAGCUUAUUCAAGCUUCUUAGCUUUUGCUCGACAAAGAAGCUUUAACAUAAAAAUCUGCCACUAUUUAAAUCAAGAUAUUGUUCUGUGAAGGCUAUCUAUGCUGUAAACGCAGCGCUGUGGCAUCCAGGUGAGUAGAUAUACCUGUGACAAACAAACAAACAAACAAACAAACAGACCAACAUACUACUAUACCCGUGGCCGCCCACGCGCGCCUCGGGUAAUUAUUAUAAACGCUCAUAUCGUAGUCUCAUCUUCCACUGUCUCUUCUUCCACUGUCUCUUCUUCUUCGCAACAUGCAUCACCAUAUUCGUCUGGUUGGAGAUUGUUGUGAUUCUUAACUUUUUGUUUUAUCCACUCUUCCAGGUUCGUGCGGUUUAGGGCCUUGAGGGGAUUUGGUGCAAACCCCGGGAAGCUUUUGUGCUCUCUGUUGUCAAUGGCUGUUAGGAUCUUGUUGACUUGUAUGCAGCCUCGGUCUGGGUAGAGCUCUCUUGUUGCUGACAUGAUGCAGCCUCUGUCUGGGUGGAGCUCUCUUGUUGGCUACUUGUACAAGCAAACUGGAUAGUUUCUGGCCUACCCUCUAGCUCCACAGCGAUUGCAGAUGAUGUCGAGGCACUGGCAUUAUGUGGACCAUCAAUGAGAAAAAGCAAGCCUUUUCCCUCGAACCCCGAUGGUACUCCUCUUUGCUGAUGGACGCGAGCUCACAGUGAAAGGAGAUGCGUCGGAACCACUCGUGUCCUUAGUCCUUUUCUUAGGGGCUGAUCUUACUGGACUACUAGGGAGCUGCUCUUUGGACACUUGUUUCUGGUAGCUACGUCUGGCCAGGAGCCUGAACACCUCUAUGGACUCUAUCUUCUUGAUACAAGAAAGACAGACAAUCUUUGACAGGCCAUCUGAAUCACUAACAGGCAGAUCCAAUGCAAGACUGAGCCUCCCUGGAAUAUCUUCUUUGAGAGCCUUACUGCUGAACAAAGGUUUAUAUCUUCUGUUUUGUAUGGCAUCAGUGCUGCAACAUAACCUACAAAGAACAAACUUAGAAGCCAUUAAAUCAAUUUUCAUUUGACCACAUGGACUUAAUAAUAAUAACGAAGUCACGCCCAGAUACAAUCAAUACCAGGCCGAGGAGGCAACCUAGCGUUCAAUUAGAGACGGAUCGGCCUGGGAUCGAGGCUAGUAUAUAUAUAGAGCUAGUGUGUUAUGGGGGGUGAUCAGUGCCAAAACCU